GGGAGUGGUUUAACGGUGGGCUCCCUCAAAUUCUUGUGCAGCCGAAUACAUUAGCAUGGGAUAAUGGAAUAGGACCCUGUCCUCCUAUUUUCAGUUGGUUUGCCGCGAGGACCAGGGUAAUGAUUAAUAGGGAUAGUUGGGGGCAUUAAUAUUUAAUUGUCAGAGGUGAAAUUCUUGGAUUUAUGAAAGAUUAACUUCUGCGAAAGCAUCUGCCAAGGAUGUUUUCAUUAAUCAAGAACGAAAGUUAGGGGAUCGAAGACGAUCAGAUACCGUCGUAGUCUUAACCAUAAACGAUGCCGACCAGCGAUUAGGAGACGUUGAAUACAAAACACCACCAUGCGCUUUGCGGUCGUCUUUGGGGUCCCUU
This 367-nucleotide ribosomal RNA is filed under the name Acanthamoeba genotype T3. RNAcentral's name for it is "bacterial SSU rRNA". It matches the Rfam family "Eukaryotic small subunit ribosomal RNA", at positions 767 to 1115 of the family's 1831-position model. Lineage: Eukaryota; Discosea; Longamoebia; Acanthamoebidae. The record is from RNAcentral.